This 465-nucleotide ribosomal RNA is filed under the name Staphylococcus aureus. RNAcentral's name for it is "bacterial SSU rRNA". It matches the Rfam family "Bacterial small subunit ribosomal RNA", at positions 1071 to 1533 of the family's 1533-position model. Lineage: Bacteria; Bacillati; Bacillota; Bacilli; Caryophanales; Staphylococcaceae. The record is from RNAcentral.
GAUGUUGGGUUAAGUCCCGCAACGAGCGCAACCCUUAAGCUUAGUUGCCAUCAUUAAGUUGGGCACUCUAAGUUGACUGCCGGUGACAAACCGGAGGAAGGUGGGGAUGACGUCAAAUCAUCAUGCCCCUUAUGAUUUGGGCUACACACGUGCUACAAUGGACAAUACAAAGGGCAGCGAAACCGCGAGGUCAAGCAAAUCCCAUAAAGUUGUUCUCAGUUCGGAUUGUAGUCUGCAACUCGACUACAUGAAGCUGGAAUCGCUAGUAAUCGUAGAUCAGCAUGCUACGGUGAAUACGUUCCCGGGUCUUGUACACACCGCCCGUCACACCACGAGAGUUUGUAACACCCGAAGCCGGUGGAGUAACCUUUUAGGAGCUAGCCGUCGAAGGUGGGACAAAUGAUUGGGGUGAAGUCGUAACAAGGUAGCCGUAUCGGAAGGUGCGGCUGGAUCACCUCCUUUCUA